This 181-nucleotide unclassified non-coding RNA is filed under the name uncultured Ascomycota. Its description in RNAcentral is "sequence contains ITS1". Lineage: Eukaryota; Fungi; Ascomycota. The record is from RNAcentral.
CGAAAAGGAGUCUCCGUGCUCUUCAACCCUCUGUGAACAUACCAUUGUCAGUUGCUUCGGCGGGAGGCCCCUGGGAGGGGCCCCGGGGCCCGGCCGGAGCCGGGCUCCCGCCGGAGGAGCGCACACCAAAACUCUUGCUGUACCCCAGUGGCACGUCCGAGUACGAAGCAAAAACAAGUUA